Pelobates cultripes (western spadefoot toad) is the source of this 123-nucleotide non-coding RNA. NCBI's taxonomy places the organism in Eukaryota, Metazoa, Chordata, Amphibia, Anura, Pelobatidae. The record is from the annotation of a GenBank genome assembly.
CACAGUCUCCCCACACGGACUAAAAUGGCAUUUAUGCAUUUAGUAUAUAUAAAUACUUUAGUUUGUAUAUAUUAAGUAUUUAUAUAUACUAAAUGCAUUUUUAGUCUGUGAGGGGAGACUUUU